This 688-nucleotide ribosomal RNA is filed under the name Brevibacterium sp. RNAcentral's name for it is "bacterial SSU rRNA". It matches the Rfam family "Bacterial small subunit ribosomal RNA", at positions 67 to 766 of the family's 1533-position model. The record is from RNAcentral. Lineage: Bacteria; Bacillati; Actinomycetota; Actinomycetes; Micrococcales; Brevibacteriaceae.
CUGAAGCCUGGUGCUUGCACCGGGUGGAUGAGUGGCGAACGGGUGAGUAACACGUGAGUAACCUGCCCCUGACUUCGGGAUAAGCCCGGGAAACUGGGUCUAAUACCGGAUACGACUGCCGGACGCAUGUCUGGUGGUGGAAAGUUUUUUCGGUUGGGGAUGGGCUCGCGGCCUAUCAGUUUGUUGGUGAGGUAAUGGCUCACCAAGACGACGACGGGUAGCCGGCCUGAGAGGGCGACCGGCCACACUGGGACUGAGACACGGCCCAGACUCCUACGGGAGGCAGCAGUGGGGAAUAUUGCACAAUGGGGGAAACCCUGAUGCAGCGACGCAGCGUGCGGGAUGACGGCCUUCGGGUUGUAAACCGCUUUCAGCAGGGAAGAAGCGCAAGUGACGGUACCUGCAGAAGAAGUACCGGCUAACUACGUGCCAGCAGCCGCGGUAAUACGUAGGGUACGAGCGUUGUCCGGAAUUAUUGGGCGUAAAGAGCUCGUAGGUGGUUGGUCACGUCUGCUGUGGAAACGCAACGCUUAACGUUGCGCGUGCAGUGGGUACGGGCUGACUAGAGUGCAGUAGGGGAGUCUGGAAUUCCUGGUGUAGCGGUGAAAUGCGCAGAUAUCAGGAGGAACACCGGUGGCGAAGGCGGGACUCUGGGCUGUAACUGACACUGAGGAGCGAAAGCAUGGGG